GAUGAAGAACGUAGCGAAAUGCGAUAAGUAAUGUGAAUUGCAGAAUUCAGUGAAUCAUCGAAUCUUUGAACGCACAUUGCGCCCGCCAGUAUUCUGGCGGGCAUGCCUGUUCGAGCGUCAUUUCAACCCUCAAGACCCCUUCGGGGGACUUGGUGUUGGGGACCGGCGCAGGGGCCUGCCUGCUUGUCUUGCAGCGCCCUCGCCGCCCCCGAAAUGAAUUGGCGGCCUCGUCGCGGCCUCCCCUGCGUAGUAGCACAAACCUCGCAACGGGAACGUGACGGCGGCCACUGCCGUAAAACAACCCAAUUUUAUUAGAGUUGACCUCGAAUCAGGUAGGAAUACCCGCUGAACUUAAGCAUAUCAAUAAGCGGAGGA
Molecule: unclassified non-coding RNA, 375 nt
Filed under: soil metagenome
Description: partial contains 5.8S ribosomal RNA, internal transcribed spacer 2, and large subunit ribosomal RNA
Rfam family: 5.8S ribosomal RNA (bases 1-120)
Source: RNAcentral